GCUGCAAAACGACAAGGACAAUUGGACGGUGAUGUGGGAAUGAAGACUUGAAUGCACUUUAUUUUAAGAAGAAACUCAAUUUUGCUAGAUUGGGAUCCUCAUAGAGGAAUAUAAUUGUCAAGUUUAUUAAAUUUAAAUUUAAUUCCAAUUAAACAUUAGAACAUAACUGUUUAUCUCGUGUGUUUGGUUUUCAUCUUCUCAUCCUAUUCCCCGAGUUCCCUGCAUUACUCUAGGGUCCUUUAACUAUGUUAACAAACAUUAAAUGACACCCUCCUUCCCUUAAGUAAAGAGCAGAUCAAUGAAAAAGGAAAAGAAACUAACCUGGAUUAAAUGACGCAGCAGGAACAGUGCAGAAAAAGGCAGGGGCACCAACCAGGUUAAGGUCAAAAUAAAGUUACGGGCAGACCACUUGAUAGGAAGCUUUCUUGACGUAAGCUUAAAAAAAUAUAAGAACCAAAUCGAAAUGAGAAAGGACAGACACAAACCUGGAAGAAAAAGUGUUGCAGGUAACAGCGGACGAAGUUUCAGCAGACCUAACUAAAGAGCUGAUGCUAUCUAGCUUUAGAUGAAAGGGUGUCAGCACACUCUUUUUUUCACAAGCUGUGAACUAAGAAAGCAGCAAAAUCCUUAAAAGAAAAGCGAAGAAACUAAUCUGUAGAGACAGAUUCUAAAGAAACAGAACAGCAGAAGGCCAAAAAAAGAAGAAGAAAUUACUGCAGCUAAAAAAUGCAGCAAGCAAUGAAGAAUGACACAACCUGAUAAUGAACAGCACAUGAGCAAACAUAGAACAAAAGUAGGUAAGAGACCGCUAUCGGAAUGCAACCAUCCUCAACAACAACAACAACAAAAAAGAUGGACCCAGGCCAAGUCGAUAUCGACACCAUUUGAGAAAAACAUUUAGCUAUACGAAAAUGAAUGCAGUGAAGGAAAACCAUAGCUACUUAAGAACCAGCUGAAGGGUCAUAUAACCCUGACAAAGGCUAUUCGAUCGUGCCUAGUCGAAGGCAAUCAAACACACAAACAUUCCUAAACAUGCACAUCAUAAAACCACUAAUUAAAAAUAGGAGGAAGCUCAGACAUGCUCUUAAACCUAAUCAAAAGGUGCUUCCCAAAAAAAAACCAGCAGGGUCUCUGAAAAGAAACAAAACUACGAAUCAUAGAGAAUAAUCGCAAAUCACGAACUGGAGCAACAUCACGCAACCUAAGCCAUGGAACAUCAGGUGGUUGCGCGAAUCCUGGAGGAGAAUUGAAGGGAAGAAUCAAACAGGAAUGAGAAGCAGCAGCAAUCAUGCCAGGAACAUGCAUCAUGCUUCCACAAGCAAUCCUGGAGGAGAAAGUGGUGGAACAGCUGCUUCAUGAGAUACCGCAGUAGUUUCUAAACCCAAAACCUUCCUAACUGUUGCUUGAUUCUGUCUACUUUUGAUGGUCUUUCUUGACUGCAUUGAUUCGGAGGCAACUGUUCUUGACGAGUUACUACUAUCGACAGAUGCUAGAAACUAGUCUCGUGUAAGUGUUGUUGGGGCAGAUUGAAUAACAGAGCUGAAGACACCCGACUCUCUUAAGCCCUGAAUUGUGGCCUGAAAUAUACAAGCAGCAAUCAUAAAUCAAUAAGGAAAUCACCGAGCAAUUGAUGCACACACUUCAGAUGCAUUUGGCCUUGGGCCUAGAGAUUUUUCACAUCUUGAUGGCAAGGAUCAGCUAGUUGAUUGCACUCAUCAUAAUUUUUUUUCUCGGUUUGUGCAGGAUAAUUUUCACCAUCUUAAUUCUUAAGCUAUGAAUUCCAUUUGAUCUGUUUAUUUUUAUUAGCAUAAACAAUUAGCUAUGAAUUCCAUUCAGAUUAAGUUACUAAGCCUUGAUCUUCACGUGUCCCAGUUUGAGUGAUUUCCCAGAGGAGGAUUGUUUAGGCGGCCUCACCCACCUGAAGAAUUUGAGAAUCGGUGGUUUCUCAGAGGAGAUGGAGGCUUUUCCUGCAGGAUUUUAAAACUCAAUCCAGCACCUCAACUUGAGUGGGUUCCUUGAAAGACUAUGGAUACAUGGAUGGGAUAAAUUGAAGAGUGUACCCCACCAACUUCAACACCUCACUGCCCUCGAGGCAUUGUCUUUAUGUGGUUUCAAUGGAGAGGAAUUUGAGGAAGCAUUGCCAGAAUGGAUGUCCAACCUUUCUUCUCUUCACCUUCUUGAGAUUUAUAAUUGCAAGAAUCUCAAGUAUUGCAAAGUUCAACAGCCAUUCAACGCCUCUCCAAAUUAAAGGAAUUGGAGAUUUGGGGGGGGAUGUCCACAUCUAUCAUAAAAUUGUAGAAAGGAGAAUGGCUCUGAGUGGUCUAAGAUUUUUCAUAUCCCAGAAAUUUAUAUAUAGAGGUAGGUUGGGAUUUUAAUUAUUCUGUUAUUUUGUAGUGUGCAGAGGAGAAAGAACCAAUUAAAGUUUUCAAAUUAAUGAAAGCAAUGAUUAGACUUCAUUCUCUUAAAAUGGUUUAUUUCAUUUAAUUUAAAACAUUUUAUAAAAUAAAUGAUUAUUUGUUUGUCUUUUUUAACCUAGAUUUGAUUCCGUACACUAUUACAUGGCAUUAUUAACUACCAAAAUUAUAUUUUCAUGACUGAAUUACCUUUUUAUUUACAAAAGAAUUUAAUAAAAUAUUUUAACAAUGAUAAUUUUUUUUUUGGAAGGCAGCUAAAUUGUUCAAAAUAUGAUAAUGAUUGGUUCCACUAGUUGUUAAUUUUUAUUGUUAAUUUUUACAUGAAUCACUUUAAUUUUAUGGAUGGUAAAUAACUUAUUUGCUUUGAAACUAAUACCAAAUUAGCUUUUAUGAUGUAUCCUUUUGUUAACAAAAUAUAUACUUAUCAAUGAAAAAAUCAAUAGCCAUCCAUCCAGAUUCUUUGAGCUCUUGAGACUUAUCUGAUAACUUUCUAAUGGAUAGCAUUAGUGGUUUCUUCACCAAAAUGUCUAAUUUGCUAUCACAUAACCAAUUGAAGUUUGAUAUUUUAGAGAUCAAAUUGCCAGAUGUAAUAUCCCCAGUGGAGCUUGAUUAGUACUUAAAAGUCCAUGUUUAUCAAGGGUUUAUGUCAUCAUUUUGCACUUAAAAUAUCAAUAACUCCUUAACUAAAACAUGUUUUAUAAUAACAAGUCUAAUAUUAUAAAAUACCCUAAUAUAUGGUAAAUGUUCAUCUUAAAUGCAGGCAUAUCACAUAAAUCAAAGGACUUAUUGAUGAAUUCAACUACUGAAAUUUUGAAGAUAAAGAAGGGUGAAGCUUAGAAAAGAGACGUUGGUGCAGUCCAAACCGGAACACUACUAUUCGGUAAUUGGGUCAUAUCUCGAGUUCUAGAUAUCCAAAUGAUCUGAAAUUUUUACAGAGAUUUGAUAAGAUAUAGGCCUACAACUUUCAAUUGAACAUUAAGAUCUAAGAAGGCCGUUUUCAAGUCCAAAUUAUAGCAACAACGGAGAAGUCCGAAUCUGUCCUGCAGCCCAAACACUGUUCAGUGUUUGGCCCAUAUCUGAAGUUUUAGAAGUCCAAAUCACCUCCACUUUUUUUUCCUGGAAAGCUGAGUCAAUUUCCUACAACUUUCAUGCUUUCAAGUGGACCCAGUUCUGAUGCUAGCAUUUUCGUUUUAUUUAGACAAGAUGAUAAGGAUUUUCACUAAGUCAAAAGUUGGCCACCCACUCAACAAUGAGUCAUCAAAGCAAUAAUUCCGAAUUUUGGCCUAUAAAAGGAGGUAUUUGCCAUGUAUUUAGGGGCUUGGUUGUUCAGAUCAAGUUCAUGCUCUUUAUUUUUCUCUCUUUAUAUUUUUGUAAUUCUUAAGUUUUGCUUUCAUUAAUUUCUUGUUUAUGCUUUUCAUUUCCUUUCCUUUCCUUAGUUAACUUGUAUUUUAUUUAUGUUCUUGUUUUGUUUAUUUAUGUUUCUCUUCUUCAUUAUGUUUGGCUAAGUUUAUUAUGUCAAGGUGAAAAGGUUACACUAAUGGUGUAAGAACAAGUAUGGUAAACUCAAUAUGACCUUAAUGUUUAAUAUUAACAUGUCUUAUCUUUUUAUCUUACUAAUUCUUAAUACCUUGCUUGUUAAAUGGUUAAUCUAAAUUUGUGUUGUAUAAUACUUGGUACAACAAAUGCUUGGCACUCUCAUAGCCCAACCGUAUGGUAUUACCUACACCUGGGCUAUGAAAGGUACUUGAUUUGUUGUUAACAUCAUUAACAUCAUGAAUUCCUGUGAUAAUAUUUAAAAGUUUGGUGUUAUGUAAAUGAGAUAAUUAAUAUGAUCAUGUUAAUAAUUUAUAAUGAGCUAUUAAUGACAAAUCAUCCGAAUGGAACCUCCUUCGUGUGUGGUUUCCAAAUUGAGUAAUAAGAGUUUAUACUAUACUUGUUUGAAAUACCAUUGGUGGAUCCUCUAACCUUGACAUUUAUUUUUAUCAUUGUUUAAUCCUUACAUUAAUCUUCCAUCUCAAAGUUCUCAUUAAUUUCUUCCUCCUCUUCUUUUUAUUGUUAUUAUUAUUACUACUAUAUAUUAUAUUAUUAUAUAUAUAUAUAUAUUAUUAUUAUUAUUAUUAUUAUUAUUAUUUACAUUCUUGUUAUAUUUUAUGUAUGUUAAGUAUGCUCUGUGUUUGAUCAAGGAUCCUGACAUUGUUGGUCUUGCCUUGUUCAUUCGCAUCAGAAAUCUGUUUAUAUUAUAUAAUAUAUCUCUUUGAUCUUUCCAUAAACUCAGUAUAUAGGCUGGAAACCUGUGACCCGAUCUUUUAGAUCAUUCUCAGGUAUAACAACGUCACGUACUGAGUAUUAUUAUUAUUAUUAUUAUUAUUAUUGUUGUUGUUGUUGUUGUUGUUGUUAUUAUUAUUGUUGUUAUUGUUGCUAUUAUUGUUAUUGUUGUGUUGUUCUUUAUAAUUUAUACAAUUAACCUCUCUGUGGUUCGACCCGGGUCUUGCCAGGUUAUUUAUUACUUCGACACUCCUGCACUUGGGAGAAGACAUCAAUCUUUUGGUCGUGUCAGAGCUCAAAUCAAAUCAGCUUAGUGGGUUUCUCUCAAGGAUUUUAAACAACAGGACAAACAACUUUCUGAAGAUUUUAAAUGUAUCAGAUUUUAGGCACAAUCCCGAAACUAAUUAAAGGAUUAAGCUUGAAGGUUCUAAAUCCCAUAACAACAUUCUCAUAAUUAAAUCAAUAAAUUGAGGUGAUAUUUUGAACUCACAUCCUUAUUUUCAACAUUAUUACCCUCUAAGGCCACCUUACCCUGCCUUAAGCUUAGUAGCCUUAUCCACAUAAGGCGUCUUCUCCUGAAACAAAUCGAAAUCAAAAGAUAACAGUUAUAGACCACUCUCAUUGUUCAAUAGCUUAUAAGUGUCUACCAAUGAUUUAUUGAGAGAGAGAGAGAGAGAGAGACCAACACUCAUUUCAUCAGUCAUUGAUUUCCAUCUCUCACCACCUCCCUUUGCAACCUGAAUUUCAUCAAAUACAGCAUUAGCAUUACUAUACUCUUUCCUAAGAUAACCCCUUACAAUUAUUAGUAUAUCAACCUGAACAACAUAAUAAAAUUGAAAAUGACAAAACUGCAUUACGUUUCAUUUAUCUUCUUAACAUCCUUAGAAUGCGAGUUGCCUUCCUUGUACUCUUUUCUAAAAUCAUCUCUAAUUAAAGAGCUACACACAUCAAUACAAAUCCCACUCCCCGUAUUCACACAUUAUCAUGAUCACAUUAUAUUACACCACACAAAUAAGCAACAAAAGGCAUUACAUUAGGAGAAAGAAAGUAAUGGGAGGUCGUUUCAGUGCAUUUUGAUCCUUGCCCUUCUCCUCUUUAUUCUCUUUCUUCGCUUUCGGCUCUGUCAAGGUUGUUGUCUUCCUACAAACCAAAUCAUAACAAACAAUCAGUUGAUUAAUCAGAUAGCAAAACAAAAUUAGUGCCUCUUAGCAUCAAGACUACAUUACGGAACUUAACUAACUAAAAUUCAUCUUGAUUUUAGCAUAAGCAGUUCUUUUCCCCAUGUAUCUCCAUCCCUUUGUUUAUACUUUUAGAAGAUUUUGAGGGAAGGGUUUUUUACUUCUUUUGCAUAAUCACAAUUGAAUUGUAUUUACUUUUGAUCUUCAGGUAAUUAAUUUUUUAGUGAUAAGUGUAUUUUAUUUGAAAAUGUUUCCAUUUGCUAUAGAUAGAUGAUUUUGAGGCUAGUUUAUGGACUAUUCGACUUAAGAGGGUGUUUGUAAUUUGUGGGUUUCGGCAAGUCACCGAUUAGGUGGCUGAUUGGAUUGAGGGGUUGCGGGUUUGGAUGUAUUAGCUUUCAUUGUUAUGAUUUAUUUACGAGAGUUAGUGAAAGUCUGAAACAAAGAAGACAAUUUACUUGCAUGAAAGUCUGACAUAAAAAAGAUAAAAGGCAUGCUCAGUAUAAACAAGAUAUGUCACAACCCGAUUUUUUGAUCCAUGACCGGCAUACAGGCAAGAUUUCCUUUCAAGGUUCCAUACUUAUACAAACUCAAACUUACAUACAAACUUAUUUAUUAAAUAACUCAAUUAGAGUUCAACGCAACAAUAACAUCAAAACAAACUUCAUAAUAUAAUUGAUUGUUUUAAUACAAGAGUUAAUAUAAAUUCAUAGUUGUGGGGCACUAACUAGACAUAAAACAAAAGUACAAAUUACUACCAAAAAAGCAGGUUCUGAAGAUCCAACAAAAACGACUCACUAACAAGCUAUAAGACUGAAAAGAUAAAUAAUGAGAGAGUGAGUUCAACAACUCAUUGAGUAAAUAACGUUCAAUAUACACACACGAGAUGAUACAAUAAUGAGGAAUUUAUAUACAAUUAUGGUUUUAAGUUAUUAUAGGAAGGUUUCUCAAAUAGGUCAUAACAAGAAUAUCAUAAGGUAAAGCUCAUCACAAAAUCAAAGUGCAAUAAACAUGAGGCUCCGUACUGUUGAAUGAUGAGUGCACACAGGUUGGUCACUACUCCGACCAAUUUGGGUUUAGAUACGAUGUACACAAAGGCUAACACUACCCUGUCAGCAUGGAUAUUCUGACUGGCAUACCAUAGGUUCAUAAUCAUAAUCAAUGCUCAACUCAUGACAUCAAUCAAAUGAGGAGCUAUCAUUUCAUAAGUCAAUUAUAUAUUAUCAAGAAGCAUGAUCCAAUUCUUUUUAACAACUCAAGUAUCUAUAAUAUUUCACAUGAUAUGGAAAAUUAUCAACUCACCUUACUGGAAAGCAAACAGAACUUGAAAGCAAAUACCGAAGGAAAUCCUACUAAUAUCCCGCUGGUAGAAUAUCAGGAUUAUCUGAAUAAAAAAAAGACAUAUUCAAAAAUGACUCGAAAGAGCAUACAACCUAUUUAAUACACUUAACUAAGAGUCUAUUUCAUAACCCUAUAUGUUUUGAACUAAACUAGUUAUUUUUCCUAUAAACCUGAAAAUUAUAUGGUUUCCAGAAAUCUAAUUCAUAAGAAAAUAAAUAAUAAGACUUGAUAAUAAUAUACUAAAUAACCCUCAAAUAUUAAUCAAACCAAUAAAAAAAAGCUAAUAUUACAACUAGGGAUUGUAAGACCCAAACUUUUGGCCAAACCUAAGCCCAAGUCAACCCAAACCCAACCUAAGUUAACCUAGGUAUUUAAGGAAGAGUUGCAAGAGAAUUACUUUCUCUCUUCUAAUUCUUGUAGCCGUCGUGACCCUCCUCCCUCAAACCUAAGAUUUUAGUUUUUGAUCUUGAGUUUUCGGUUCAAGAAAGGUGAAAUAGCAAGUAAGUGAUUCUCUUUCAUAUUACUUUUGAUUAUAGUUUGUUUAUGGAAUGAUUAAAGAAGAGAUUAGGGUUUAUAAAGUUUAGAAGUUUAUGUUGUUAAGAUUGAUUUAUGAUUAUUAAGGGUUAAUUUAAUAUUAGGUGAUUAAUUAGUAUGUUGUUAGAAAUAAGAAUUUGUGAGUUGAUUUGUUUAAAUUAAUUCUUAUGGGGUUAAGAAAUUCAUUUUUACCUUGCUGGAAAAUCUGGACAGAAUGGUCUUGAGGUUGAAGAUGACCAAAUUUUAUUUUGGUCCUUGAUUUAUGAAAAUUUCAGUUUAGUCCCUAAACUUUGGAAAAAUUACAAUUUGACCCCUAAAUAUAUUUUGAGAUUCUGGACAGUGUUAUUAUGAGAUUAAGGAUAUGAAUCUUAGUUUGAUAAAUGAUUUGGAAUAUUUCCAAUUUGUCUCUAAAUUUUAGGAAUUUACAUUUUAGUCCCUAAACUUUAUAAAAUUACAGUUCGGUGCCUGGUUCGUUCUAGAAAGAUUUAAGGAUGGUUUAUGGGUGAAAUUUCAGUAUGGUUAUGUAUUUAUAGUUUGGUCUAGUUUUGGUAAAAUUACGUUUUGGUCCCUAUUUUGGAUAAUUGUCGUUUUAGUCCCUAAACUUAGGAGACUAAACCUGGUUUUAUUUUAUGCAUUGGAAUCUUUUAUUUGUGUUGCUUUGAGUUGCUUUUGAGUAUAUUUCAUAUAUUUAUUGUAGGUUCUCCUAACGAUCCUCAAUAGGUUUUUCGGGUCUUUCAUCUGAUAUUCCUUUUAGUUCUAUAUUUUUCGGGAGUGGGAUAAUCUUUAAUAUGCAUAUAUUAUAAAUAAAUAUGUAUGUUGAUUAUACAAUGAGUACAACUAGUUAAUUUCUUGAAUAUUUAUAUAUGUUGCUUUAUUUUCCGAGUACUCAUUUAUUCUUGAAUUUGCACUCGCAAUCUUUCGAACUAAAUUCUAUUUGAUAUGAUAUACGUUUCUUUGAUGAUUCUGUAAAUACUAUUAUGCCUUGAUAUAGGACUUGUCAGUAACUCCAUGCUAACGGAGAGUAGUUAGCCUAUGUGCACAUAGUAUUCUGUAUACCUAGCUGGUGAGAGAGGCAUCAGCCUGUGGCGACUGAUCAUCCCAUAGUGGUCACCUUCGGGUGUCAUCUGAUCUCUGACAUGUAUUCCACUACGUUAUGAUAAUAUGUUUAGUAUGUAUAUGUAUAUGUAUAUGUAUAUCAAGAUAAAUCAUCUUGCAAACUAUUAAUAUCUAAAAUCUAAAAUGUAUAUUAAAUAUUAUUCCCUCACUGAGUUGAUUGAACUCACCCCUCAUUCUUAAUAUUAUUUAAAUUUUAGUUUCUGAAAGCAGUUGGACCUUGUUAGGUGUUUCCGCUUCUUCAAUUUUGGUCAGUAUGCCUUGCUUGUUCUGCGAGGCUUUCUUUUAGUUUUGAUUCGAUGUCUUAGACACUCCACCAUUAUCUUGUUUUAAUUAAGUUUGGAUUUUGACAAUGUAAUGAAUAUUAUGGAUUAUUAUUUUGUUUUAAUUACUAAUAAGGAGUUUUAAACUAUAUUUUGGUUUUAUCAGUUUUGAAUAAUAUAAUAUUUCUGAAGAUUAUAAAAUGCUGCGUAUUUUUGAAUAAAUUGUUAUUUUUGAUAUGUAUGUUAUGAGGCUUAGCGUAGGUGAGGUGUCCUUUCGACAUCGCUCCUACGUUGUCGAUCAUGGACCUGGGAUUCGGGUCGUGACAGGGACCAAUCUAGAAUUUUAUUAAAUUUUAGGGCUCAAAUUGUAAUUUAGUCAAUUUCAAGGACCAAAGUAAAAUUGUCAUAAAUCCAUGACUAUACUGGAAUUUUUCCCAUAAUUCAUCCUCAAUUCUGUCAAGAAACUCUAAUUAUGCUCCAGGGACCAUUCUGGAAUUUUAUCAAAAAUUUUAGGGUCAAAUUGUAAUUUUUGUGAAAUGGAAGGGCCAAAUUGAAAGUGUUAUAAUUCAUAACUAUACUGGAAUUCUGCCCAUAAUUCAUCUUUUCUUCUAUCCAGAAUCUCAUAUUACGUUCCAGGGAUCAAUCUGUAAUUUUUCAAAAUUUAGAAACUAAACUGAAAUUUUCACAAAUUGAGAGACCAAACUGAAAUUUCAUCAUCUUCAGCUAAGGGUGAUCAUUUUCGGUUUGGUUUUUGUAAAGAAAAGUAACCAAACUAAUUUUUUUAAAAAAACCAAAACCGGUUCAAACCGAUCGGUUUCGAUUCAGUUCGAUUAUUUUAGAACAAAAACUGGUUUUUUCGGGUUUUUUCGGUUUUUUGGUUUGGCUCUGUUUUUUCGAUUUGGCUAGGGUUUUUUUUCCGGUUUAGGUUUGGUUUUUUUGAUUUCAUGCUUAUAAAACCGAGCCAAACCAAACCAAUCGAUUUUUAAAAAAUUCUAAUUGGUUUAAUCAGGUUUUUUUUCACGGUUCAGUUUUUUUUGUUAUUUUUUCUGGUUUUCUUGGUUUAAUCAGUUUUUUGAUUUUUUUGCUCACCCUUAUCUUCAACUUCAAACCCAGAAUUUCCACAUAAAACCUAUUGUUAUAUCAAGAUUUCUAACUCAAAUUCACAAUUUAAACAAAAUCAUAACUCAAAAUCAUCAUCUUUACCUACAAUAUUCUAAAAUCAACUAAAUAAUUUAUUAUCCAUAACAUUCAAAUCAAUUCAUCAAUCAAAUCGAAAACAAAAUUUUCAAAACCCUAAUAUUCAACAAAAUAGAAUUCUAAAGCUAAAAAAACAUAUUAUACACAUCGAAGCCUUUUAACUUAUUUUCUUUAAUUCCCUUCUCCUUCCUUUAUCUUUCUCUCUUUUAUCUUCUUCUUCUCUUCUCCCGUCACUCCCUCUUAAUUUUCAAAUCCCUCUUUCUUUCUUUUUUUCUAUUUAUAGUUAUCAAGUUUUAUUCUAUUAUCACAAUAUCCUUUAUUCAUUUAUAUCUACUUCUAAGCCUCCAAGAACUUUGUAGCCUUUUCCUACUCUCAUUUAUUUAUAAAUCUCACAAGUUAAUUAUAUAGUGAAAUAUACUAAAUACCUCAGCUAUGAUCAGUCUUGGAUGAAUCCACGUUGAUAAAAUUUGCCCAAUUCCGCUAGCUGUCCUUCAAAAAAUAUUAUAUAGUUAUUCUGAGAAGAAAUUUUUAUUUAAAAAAAAAAGAGUAUCUGAAACUUAUAACUUGUAAGCUGUCUAGGCUUUAACUCUAACUGAUAUAAAAGAAUUAUAAGUAUACAUGAUUUAUAAACCCUACAUACAGUGAUCAGUUAAGAACUUUUUGGCACAAAUAUUGAAAAACAGCAUUGCCAAUGGUAGAGACCUUCAAUCCUUGUCGUUUAAGGUUCGUGAAAUAUUGCUGUUUUUUUGACAAGUUGCAGGCAGUUUCCAGUUCCCUAUACGUUCGUGGCGUGGCUUGUACAUAGGAAACGUGUCUCCUUGUAGGAGUUUCUCGUACUGUGAGGUAUCCUGCAUGCUUCUUUCCUUUCUGAGUUUGUAAACAUGUUAAACACCACCACUUCUCAGUUCUUGCAUUCAUCAGCUUCUUCUAAUGCUAAAAGUGAAGAAGUCAAGACUAAAAGUGAAGCCCAGGUUGAGAUUCAGGUUUUGUCUCUCUCUCUCUCUCUCGUAUUUUAUUUAUGGAACUUAUUGUUAUCAAUAUAGUACUCACGAGUGGUUUUAUUUAUGGAAAAACUGAAAAAUUAUGUAGGAAAGUGCUGAAAUAUUCUUCUUCUAUAUAUAUGACGUUCAACAUUUGUACUUGGUUCUAAGGCCAGAGUCUGGAGAGAGAGCGGUUGAGGAGAAAGCACCCCAAUCUGGCUUUAAAUUUCAGCAGUAUUGAUCAUGAUGGUGGAAGUAGUAGUGCUUCACAAUGGCUCGAGCCAGGGCAUGGAAGCCAGUUAAUUAAUUGUAAUAUAUUGUCCAAAAAUAUGUGUUUAGUAUAUAAUAUGCAAGUUCUUUCUCUCAAAGUUUUACAAUAGAGCUAGUAGUUAGAGCAAUGAAUGUGCUUUCUUUUUCUCUUGGAUUGUAGGUAGUGAACAAUGAAAAAGAGCCCUUGUUUGAGAUUGAUAGAAGAAAUGGGAUGUAAAAGUCUUCCAGAAGUCAGCAUUGAAUUUUGUUGCAGUUUCAUGGACAUCAAUUUGAUCAUAAAUUUUGAUUACCUGUUGCAUCUCAGAGGAAUAUGACACUGCUGCAACAAGAGGGCUCCGACACAAGUAUCCAGCAAGAGCAUUAGGAGAAGGCAUUUAUCGGAUACCAAGGCACAAAUCCAGGCAAGAGAAUGCAUGCUCAUUUGGUGUACAAGCUAGAGUUGCCAUCAAAAGACAAGGAAAACGAGCCUCAAGAGUCGCUUAACAUCGAACGUGAGGGCUCAUUUAUAAUUCACAUAAGGAAUCCCGAUCAACAUGGUGGCAGUUCCCAAUUUACAAUUGUAAACACAGGAGAGGAAAAGGUAGUUGCAAAUGUCUGCAUGAAUUCUAGCAUGCCAGAGAAGAAAUCCUUUUGCUGCCAUCUAAAGAUGGCUUCUCUAGCAGUCCGGAUGCCAAGACCACCCUUAUAAUUUUCCCUGGCAUCACCUUUACUAAACAUCUAGAUCAAAGAAGCAACUUGCUAAUUUGUUAAUAUACCCACAAAUCCUCCUAGCCAGCCAUGCUCAUACUUCAUAGUAUAGAGCGGAAUUGAUGGCAGCACCAGUGGGAGUGGAGUGAAUUGAAGUAUUCCAGGCACCUAAUUUACUGUGAGCUGCAAAACAACGUGGACAAUUGGAGGGUGAUGUGGCAAUGAAGACUUGAAUACACUUUAUUUUAAGAAGAAACUCAAUUUUGAUAGAUUGGAAACAUUAGAACAUAACUGUUUAUCUCAUCUUGUGUGUUUGGUUUUCAUCUACUCAUCCUAUUCCCCGAGUUCCCCUACAUUACUCUAGGGUCCUUUAACUAAUGUUAACAAACAUUAAAUGAC
Molecule: long non-coding RNA, 12638 nt
Filed under: Populus tremula
Lineage: Eukaryota; Viridiplantae; Streptophyta; Magnoliopsida; Malpighiales; Salicaceae
Description: long non-coding RNA (PTRE_LNC000882)
Source: RNAcentral